AAAUGAUUGCUAAAUUAAUCCCCAUAUUCUAAGUCUUCCCUUUCUGAGGAUUUCAUCAUAGGAUGACAGAAUAUUUGUUUUAACAAGAUAAAAGUGACAAAUAACUUAAAAUAUGUUAGAAAAGCUCCCUAAUUUGGAAAAAGAAUGUCAGUUGGGAAUGAUCAGCAGUGAGCUGUAGAGCUUGAUAGACACUUAUCUGAGCCAAUCCUCAGUCCUUCCAUUGGCCCUUGUGACUGUAUCCUAACCCAUUUUCCCCCAUAGCAUUUCUUUUCCUCACGAUCGUCCCAUAGAAUUCACCUAUAGAUUGCAAAUCUCUCUCGCCAUGCUAAGAUUAUCUUUCUUACUACCAAUUCUUUCUAGGCUUCAUGAUUUCUUUCCUAACUUCUUCUGAUUCGACUUUGAGACAACCCAGCACUCUGGAAUCUUUGCUGCAACUUCUCCAAUUAACUGAUGUUCCUUUCCAUCCUCUUAACAAGGUUUCCACCCAAACAUAUCGGAAUAAGUGGUUGCAGGCAAGCAAAGCAUAUGAUGGUGCCCCUGUGGUUUUCAGAUGGCUCAGCAGAUGUAUUUGGUUCAAGAUUGGAGGGGGGGUGGCAGACAUACAGUUUGGCCAGUGAGGUGAGUGGCUGUGGCAGACUGCAUGAUGGGUCGAAACCCUUCUUCUCAGACUCUUCCAUGAGAUGCUGGAAGUCUUGAAUAGGAAAGCAAGGAAUCAGGAUCUCAGAGGCUAAGUUCUGCGCCUUAUUUACAGGAAUCAUAACCUGUUGUCCUGACUUUUCCCAAAAAGGAGCAUUUACUAAACAACAAUGGCAUUUCUUCGGGCAGGCUAUGAAACAAAGUGAGGCAAAAGGAUACAGAAUGUUACCGCCUUUGGGAUCCCAUGCAAUCUAGUGAAGAUACUGCACAAACUGUGGAGAGUUCAGCGGUUCCUCAGCUGCAGCCCACACCUUUCUCUGCUUCUACUAACUCUUCUUGCCCCUUUUAAUGAGAUGGCCAAAGAGAAACACCCCUUCCUUAAUGCUGCAGAUGCCAAGAACCAGCCCCAUGGCCUGGGACAAACCUCCUGCCCAAACCCCUUGUUUCUGGGUCUUGUCCUCACUGCUGUCAAAUGAUAGCUAAACCCCAGCAUGGAGGCAUGCUGUGUUGCUGUCCUCCCAAGGAACAGCUUUUGCACCCAUGCUCUUCCACCUCAGCUGCCUCUUUACCAAAUUCAACAUGACAUUCCAAAUCAAUAAAAUGUCACUUUUAUUUUGAAGCUAAGUUUCA
This 1266-nucleotide long non-coding RNA is filed under the name Monodelphis domestica (gray short-tailed opossum). Its description in RNAcentral is "lncRNA (ENSMODG00000047343.1)". The record is from RNAcentral. Lineage: Eukaryota; Metazoa; Chordata; Mammalia; Didelphimorphia; Didelphidae.